GAUGCCUUUAACCGGGUGUCGGGGGCGGACGGCACGUUUACUUUGAACAAAUUUGAGUGCUCAAAGCAGGCUUAUGCCUGAAAAUUCUUGCAUGGAAUAAUGGAAUAGGACUUCGGUUCUAUUUUGUUGGUUUUCGGAUCCGAAGUAAUGGUUAAGAGGGACAGACGGGGGCAUUUGUAUGGCGGUGUUAGAGGUGAAAUUCUUGGAUCGCCGCCAGACAAACUACAGCGAAAGCAUUUGCCAAGGAUGUUUUCAUUGAUCUGGAGCGAAAGUCAGAGGUU
Molecule: ribosomal RNA, 281 nt
Filed under: Collyriclum faba
Lineage: Eukaryota; Metazoa; Platyhelminthes; Trematoda; Plagiorchiida; Collyriclidae
Description: partial 18S ribosomal RNA
Rfam family: Eukaryotic small subunit ribosomal RNA
Source: RNAcentral